GUUACGUUGUGGCUACUGUCAAUUCUGACGUUUAGAUAUGUGGAAAUGUAGGGUUAUGUUUUUCUUUUAUUUAUAAAAUAAAUAUUUUAUUACACUUUUAUUUAUAUACGUUAUGUUUAUUAUACAAUGGAUUCUCUAAAGUCACCACACUCAACCUAUAAAAACUCACAAAGUUGGACUGACGACUUGCCAGUUUGUAAGAAUACUGGAAUAGGAUAUUCAACAAACCAAAUUUAUAGAGAGGAUGGAAACCCCCAAGAAGAGCAUACUUAUGAAGACUGCAGUUGUCACUUUAAAUUUAAUGAAGGUUUCUAUUGGUAUGCAGUGUUUGAUGGCCAUGAAGGAAAGAGGGCUGCUGACUUCUGCUGCCAGAGGAUGACUGCUGAGAUCUACUUUUCACAACCAAUGGAAAAUCAGUCUGACGAGGAAGUCAAAGAACUACUGAAUCAAGCUUUUAUGACAGUAGAAAAGGGUUACAUGCAGAGCUUGGAAGAUUUAUUAGCUGAAAGAACAAGUUUGAUGUAUGAUAUACCCGAAGGCCUAACUCAGUAUGAAGCUUAUCAGAAAGUACCACACAUAGUUCAAAAUAUAAACAAAAUAAACAAUGAGUUGUCUUCGGGAUCAGCGACAGCAGUAGCUCUGAUCCAUAAUAAUAAACUGUAUGUAGCAAAUGUUGGUAAUUGUAGAGUUUUGUUGUGCCAAACAGAUCUCAAUGCAGUUCUUAAAGUGGUACAGCUGAGUGUGGAUCACGAUCUGAAAAAUGAAGAUGAACUUCUUCGACUUUCACAACUAGGAAUCAAUUUAAAAAGUCUUAGAAAGAGUACUAGAUUAGGAAACCAAGAAAAUACCCGAUGUUUGGGCAAUUACAUUAUUAAAGAAGGCUAUAGGGAUUUUGAAGACUUAGCUAUGGCAUCAGAGGAACCAAUAAUCGCCCAGCCGGACAUUCACGGAGGAAUCGUCUUGGAUGAAUCAUCAAGGUUUCUCUUACUUAUGUCAGCUGGCCUUUAUAAAUCUAUAGAAGAGGCUACAGGGACAGAUCAAGUCAAUAAAUAUAUCGCUCAAUGUGUUGUUGAACAGUUUCGUGAACAAGCUACAUUAACAGGAGUAGCCCAAGCAGUAGUAGACAAAGCAGUUCGUCUUCACCACGAUUGGUACAUGUCGAAUUCUUUGAACAAUUCAUGUUCUCCAAAACGUGAAGAUAUUACUCUCGUUCUUAGAAAUUUUAACUACCCCUUGCCCAACGCUAUAACAUCACCCACGAAUCCCUCGGUUUCGUUUAAUCCAAUUGUCACCAAAAAUACAAUUUCGGAUAGGUAUAGCUCAGCAUCUAUCGCUACGGUGGGUAGUGGAAACAGUGAUAGUACCACAAUUACCAACAAAACUAGCGACACUUCAAGUAUAGACGUUAAACUUGAUGAUGACAUCGGCUCUGACCAGAAAAUUGAAGCUUAUGUUGACUUCUCUGAUUUUUAUAGGAAUUAUAAUAAGGCAAAGAAAAAUGGAACGUUGCCAGUGGGAUUGGACUUUUAAAUUGACAAACGGCACUUCUUAGGUGAAGUGCCUGUAAUCAUACACGAAUCUUAUUUUUAUCGAACAUCAUCAACAAUUUUGACAAAUUAUUGUUUUAGUCACUCUCAAAUGAAUAAUUGAGCCUAAAUUCGUCCAGUAAUUCAAAAGACGGUGCAAAAAACGUACUUAUUGCGUAAUAUUAUAACCAUAAUGCUGUUUUUAUACUUACCGAGGGUCAAGAGAUCUUACAUUUGGUAGAAGUUUGUUCUGGCUAUUUCCAUACGAGUGAUAUUUAAUUUGAAUGCCCUUUGAUGUUGGCAACAUUAUAUGGAUUCGAUUGUAGUACCAUGGGAAAAAUAAUUUAUUGGUAGCUCAAAUAGCUCAAAGCUAAAUAUCAUGAAGUAAUGAUUAACGUGUUAACUAAGCUAUAGGUUUUAAAAGACUACACCCCUAAUCUGGGUCAAUCCCAAUUUAUAUUAUACUAGUGAUUUUACCUGUCGCCAUGCGAUCGGGGAUACAAUCAAUUGCCCUCUACAGUUACUGCACUCAAUUUUUUUUUACUGCCUUCUAUUUUAUCGUAUCUCUCUCCAAUUUAUUCUGACCUACUGUAAUUUUUUCUGACCCCUCCAUUUUUUUCUGACACCUUCCUAUUGUUCUUGCACCCUCUAAUUUCUUCGGAAACCCUCCAAUUUUUUCUCACAUCCUCGAAUUUUUACUGAUCAGCAUUAACAUUCUCUUCUCAGUAAGCAAGUAACACACAUAUUUCUCAUUAAAAUAGGAAGUGGUUGAAUGCUAAUUGGAAUAUUUCUUAUUGUUUAUGCAAUACGAUGCCUCGUGUAUCCAAUUUAUUGUUAUGAAAACAAAUUCAGAUCUUUACUGAUCCAGCUGCGUAAAUAUUUGAAAUUAUAUCAAUUAAAAGAAGAAACAUACCAAUAUAGUUAUUUUCCUAACAAGUGCAGAAAGUCAUUCUUUUCCGCACGCGACUGCAGUUUGCCGAACGACGCGAAGCGGGAGUUCGGCAAGCAGUCGAGUGCGGAAAAGAGAUUUUCUGCAAGAGUUAGGAACAAUAUUUUUUCUAAGAGUCUUUAAAGAAUUACCAAAUCUUAAUCAAUUAAUUUAAUUAAUAUGAAAAUACAUACACAAAUUAAUUCUUUGACAAGGAUGUCAAAACCAAACUUUCAAUAUAAUUAGUUAGCAUGACGACGAUCUUGGUUUCCAUGACAAUGAUUCAAAACGACUGUUAUUGUCUACCGAUUUGACUUUCGAAUAUUAUGUCAAAAUAAUUUUAUUUCAUCAAAUUGUCGCGUUAAUUUCAUUAAAACAGGAACACAAUAAGAUAUAUUUGAAAUAAAUUAGUAAAUAAUAUCUAAAUAUUAGUUUAUUGCAUGUAUUAUAUUUACUUUAAGGCCAUAUUAACAUAUCUAAAUUAACACGCGUGCGGAAAAGUAAAAACCGCGUGCGGAAAAGUAACACGCGUGCGGAAAAGUAACACGCGUGCGGAAAAGUGAAACUUUCUAAACUAAAAUGCGUGCGCGAAAGGAGACAUUUUUGCACGCUCGUAGAAAAAAUAUUAUACAAACCGUCGAAAACAUCUACUCCCAUAAUGGAAAACUAACACAGUUUAUACCAGUACAAAGCGGAGUCAGACAAGGUGACUCGUUAAGCCCACUUCUCUUUAAUAUAAUAAUGGACGAAAUAAUAGAAGCAGUACGUCAAGGUCAUGGUUACAGAAUGGGGAACAAAGAAAUACAAAUAUUAUGUUAUGCAGGCGACGCCGCGUUAAUCGCCGAGACAGAAGACGAUCUCCAAAGAUUAACACACAUAUUCAAUACAACAGCUAAGAAAUACAAUAUGAUAAUAUUAGCAGAAAAAAUCAAAUGUAUGACAACAUCUAAAUACCCACUACGAUGUAAAAUCGUAAUUGAUGGGAAAAUAAUAAAGCAGGAAGCAAGGUUUAGGUAUCUGGGAAUAGAUAUAACCAGUUACGGAGAUGUUGAAGAGGAAGUACGACAACAAAGCUUAAAAGCAAGUAAAGCGGCGGGAUCUCUUAAUGACACAAUGUGGAAGAACAAACACCUAAGACAAGAAACAAAAGCAAGAAUCUAUAAAGCAGCAAUUAGACUUAUAUUGACAUACACGGCGGAGACAAGACCUGAUACAUCUAAAACGAGACGACUACUAGAAACAACAGAGAUGAAAAUACUUCGACGAAUAUCAGGGAAAAGUCUGUUGGAUAGGGAGAGAAGCGAAAACAUAAGAAGAUCAUGCAAUGUAGAAGACAUAAAUGGAUGGGUGACAAAACAGAAACAGGAGUGGAACCAACACAUUAGUAGAAUGGCAGAGAAUAGGAUAGUACGAAUAGCACGAAAUAAGUCACCAAAUGGACGAAGAAGUAUGGGUAGACCAAGAAAAAGAUGGUGCGAUAAUUUAAACAAUUUAGGAGGAUAAUAUUGAAGAAGAAACAGGCUUUAAAGCCUACAUACAAGAAGAAAGAAGAAGAAUAUCAAUUAUGUCUCGUAUAAAUUGGUGUGAAUAGGUUGAUUUGGAUUAUAUUACCAAAAUCUUUGUUCUCGGUAUUUUUGAUGAAGAAAUUGUAUUGAAUUGUAGUGAAUUUCUGCAUUUGUUGCUUUAUUUCUGCAUUGUUGCCCAGCUUUGUCGUCGAAUCCUGAAGUUAUCUUAUACCAACUACGUUACUAAUGAGGACGUCUUAUUGAGAAUACUAAAAGAAAAAGAGCUGUUAAUCACAAUAAAAACAGCCAAAAACGAAUACCUACGAAACGGAUUAGCACUACAAGAAGAAGUUUCUGCAAGUAUUUAGAACUUUUCAUUUCAACUUUUCAUUUUCAUUAUGUUCUCGUCUUGGUGGUUCUAAAGGAAGAGCUGUCAGUCUCACUUCGAAGUAAGUAGUUGACUAGGUUCAUUGUCCGAGGGGAACACUAACCAGAAAAUACAAGGUGAUUCAGUGAAACGGUACAAUUUGACAAGGCUGCUGACGAUAAAAUGGAGGAGUCGUGGCCUUGCGAUGUAAACGUUGUGAAUCUAGAGAGUGGGAAGUUUAGUUAUCAUGAAGACGUGGUUGGAUGAACAACGCGUAUUUGCUGUGAAAGCUUAUUACAAAAAUGGUGAAAGUUUUGUGCGUGUACAACAAGCAUUUCGUUUACACUACCAUUUGCCGCCCCGCGCUGCAGUUUCUUCUAACAUGGCUAUUAAGACGUGGGUUAGGAACUUUGAAAGUAGUGGUUCAAUAUCACAGAAAAGAGGUGGCAGUGUCAUAACUGCUCGCACACUAGAGAAUAUUAAAACGGCGCCAAAUUCAUUACAUGCGAGUCGUCGCGGGAUCUUCGAGCACUCGCGUGUAAUAAAUUUGGCACCGCUUUGAUAUUCUGUGGUGUGCGAGCAGUUCUGAUACUGUCACCUCUUUUUUAUGUUGAACCACUACUUUUAAAGUUACUAACCCAAGUCUUGGUCUUGUGAACGGGACAGCAAAUGGUAGUUGUACACGCACAAAACUUUCACCAUUUUUAUAAUAAGCUUUCACAGCAAAUGCGCGUUGGUCACAAGACCACUCCUCCAUGAUAAAUAAACUUCCCACUCUCUAGAUUCACAACGUGUACGUCGCAAGCCCGCGGCUUCUCUACUUUAUCGUCAGCAGCGUUGUCAAAUCGUACCAUUUCACUGAAUCACCCUUUAUUUCAAACUUAGGUGGAGUGAGUGUAAAAUCCAAAAUGGAUUUUUAACUGGAAUGAGCGCAUGAAUCGAAUCGACAGAUUAACGGGAAGUACGGUGAGAGAUCGGGUUUCGCGACCCACUAACUCUCAUCGAAUGAUCCCUCCCGGAAUGCGUUAAAACACUAGUAACCCCAAUCAUACAAUAACUGUGUCAUUAGCAAAGCAAAGGAAGAUUUUUCAUUUUGAGGACAGCUUUUAAAUUGUAGUUAAUUCCUUCUUUCUUCUUAAGGUGCCAUCUUCUUUCGAAGGUUGGCGAGCAUCAUGACUAUUUGUAUUAUGUUUACAGCUGCUCUAGAAAGCAAUUUAGAUGAGCAAUUAAACCACCCUGAGAUUGCGUAGCCACGACAUUCGUCGCCUUCCAACGCUACACUUUCCUUAAAUCUUUCCCUGUAUGAUAUCCUGCAGAAGCUGUAUUUUUUCCUCUUUUCACGUGGCCAAGGUAUUGUAGUUUUCGUAUCUUUAUUUCAUUAUUUAGUUCUGAUUCUUGUGAAAGUCUUCCCAGUCAGAGUUAAUGAAGACAUUGAUCAAAAUAUCUUUGUGUUAAACUUCAUGUUACGAUCAUGUCGUGUGCGAUUUUAUGUAUAAAACGAUACUUGAUUAUAUUUUACCAAUUUUAUUAGAAGUACCUAUUCGAGAUAAGCAAAUUUUGUGAUUGAUAAAUUAUUGUUUUUGAUAAUUUUUCAGACUCUGAAAACAAGAAAUAAUUAAGAUAUAUGUAAUAAUCAAGAAAUCAUAACCCAUUUUCGAUUUUAUUGAAAACUAUUUUAACUACUUUUUAAAUUAAAAAAUUUAAAUAAU
This 6035-nucleotide unclassified non-coding RNA is filed under the name Diabrotica virgifera virgifera (western corn rootworm). RNAcentral's name for it is "tGF-beta-activated kinase 1 and MAP3K7-binding protein 1-like". The record is from RNAcentral. Lineage: Eukaryota; Metazoa; Arthropoda; Insecta; Coleoptera; Chrysomelidae.